GCGUCAGUAGGUUGGUCGUGCCACCGGGACGUACUGGUCUCACUGAUUCCUCCUUCCUGAAGAACCGUAAUGCCAUUAAUUUGGUGUUGCGGGGAAACAGGACUGUUACUUUGAAAAAAUUAGAGUGUUUAAAGCAAGCUAACGCUUGAAUACAUUAGCAUGGAAUAAUGAAAUAGGACGAUCGAUCCUAUUUUUUUGGUUUCUAGGAUUGACGUA
Molecule: ribosomal RNA, 216 nt
Filed under: Glomeromycotina sp.
Lineage: Eukaryota; Fungi; Glomeromycota
Description: partial small subunit ribosomal RNA
Rfam family: Eukaryotic small subunit ribosomal RNA (bases 40-216)
Source: RNAcentral